AUUUUUUGCUAUAUCACUCAAGGUGAGAACCUCCUCUUCUGAUUUAGCAUGGACGAAAUAGUUUCCAGUUAUGGCACGAUACUCUUUAGCCUUACCUUGGAUAAUGGCCUUUGAAUAUGUUUCAUCACAAAAUAAGUAGACAAUGAUCAGAGCGAAAAAUCCCAUAAAUGAAGUAAUGUACUCUGUCCAUCUCCAUCCCAAAUAAGAUUUCGUGAGAAAUCCACCAACGAUAGGAGACACCAAAGGACCAUCAAACACCAUAGCAGAGAAUAGCGUAAUGGCGGUUCCACGAUAUUUGUUGGAGUACAUAUCGGCCAAUGCUGCAGCGACAACCGUUAAUGGAGCGCUAGCAAAAAAGCCGGCAAAAAAUCGACACAUCAUAAUCGUUUGAAUGUCUUUGCCAACAGCAACACUAAUGUUAAAAAUACCAAAACCCAACAUUCCAAUUAAUAUAGGAGGUUUCCUACCACUUAGUUCAGACAGCGGAGCCCAAAUAAUAGGACCCGAACAAUAACCGAGUAAAAACACUGUCAUGGUAAGCAAAGAUACGGUAAGACUAAUGUGAAAAACAGUAGUGAUAGCUUCAGCAGGUACAGCGAAAACAGAAGAUGCAAAACUAGAACAAAGUGCAACAUACGCUAAAAUGCAAGUAGUUUUAAGCUUACGUUUAAAUGGCCAAUUUACAGCGAUCAAAGGACUUUUCGGAUCGAUUGAAAAGACAAAUCGCUCAGGUUCUUCGACAACGGGAAACACUUGUAAAAGAGGAUCUUGGAUACAUUUUUCCACAUCAUCAGGGUUUGGCUCAGUUUUGGAAUUUUGGUUGGAAGGAUUACUAUUUACAGGUGUUAAAUUUUGAAAACUUUCACCAGCAGUAGUAGGAUAUCUCGCAGCAAAUCUGGCAGAAGUUGAGAAAUUGGAAGUGGCAGAUCUCGAAAGCUGCGGCAAUUGGUAUGAAUUGUUAGACGCAUGGCUUACAGUAUGAUACAACUCUGGAUGAGCAGAUGCAGAUUGGGAGACAGUAUUUUGCAAGGCUAGCUCUUCGGCCGUAGGAGUUGAAGACAUUGUGAAUCCGGAACUUUUUUAAUCUAAUGAGUGACGGAGAAGGGGAUUAAACAAGAAAAAAGAAAAAAGGCUGCUAAUAUUGCCAAAUCGGACGAAAUGUAGUAUAUAAACCCAGUAGAUGGUAGCAAAGUAAAAUAAAAACACACACACAAACACAGAUGGUACUACUAAAGUAAGAAACGUAAAGUAGCAAGGAAGAAAAAUAGGAAAAGAAAAAUUAAACAGUUAAAAGAAGGUGACGGAUGAAAGAUGAAAUGCUGUGAAAGAUCGUAUGGUUUCGAGUAAAGAUCAAACGAAUUAAUUAAAAUUGAGCAAACCACAAAAACUCAGAAAUAAAUAUGUGAAUAAACAGUUCCACCAAAAAAAGGU
Schizosaccharomyces pombe (fission yeast) is the source of this 1431-nucleotide non-coding RNA. The record is from the annotation of a GenBank genome assembly. NCBI's taxonomy places the organism in Eukaryota, Fungi, Ascomycota, Schizosaccharomycetes, Schizosaccharomycetales, Schizosaccharomycetaceae.